This 253-nucleotide ribosomal RNA is filed under the name Dorea longicatena. RNAcentral's name for it is "partial 16S ribosomal RNA". It matches the Rfam family "Bacterial small subunit ribosomal RNA", at positions 524 to 776 of the family's 1533-position model. Lineage: Bacteria; Bacillati; Bacillota; Clostridia; Lachnospirales; Lachnospiraceae. The record is from RNAcentral.
UACGUAGAGGGCAAGCGUUAUCCGGAUUUACUGGGUGUAAAGGGAGCGUAGACGGCACGGCAAGCCAGAUGUGAAAGCCCGGGGCUCAACCCCGGGACUGCAUUUGGAACUGCUGAGCUAGAGUGUCGGAGAGGCAAGUGGAAUUCCUAGUGUAGCGGUGAAAUGCGUAGAUAUUAGGAGGAACACCAGUGGCGAAGGCGGCUUGCUGGACGAUGACUGACGUUGAGGCUCGAAAGCGUGGGGAGCAAACAGG